This 237-nucleotide long non-coding RNA is filed under the name Volvox carteri. RNAcentral's name for it is "long non-coding RNA (VCAR_LNC000035)". Lineage: Eukaryota; Viridiplantae; Chlorophyta; Chlorophyceae; Chlamydomonadales; Volvocaceae. The record is from RNAcentral.
CUUGUCUCUGGCGGUGAAUGCUAAUACUUGGCGCAAAACUGUUACGUUGUCCGAUUUGGAAUCUAAGUUGACCGCCGCGGUUCCCUUGCUUUCCUGUAUACGUAUGAUGAUCAACGUUCCCCCCUUGCGUUGACCUUGCCACCGACUCGGUCGUGCAGUUUCAACGCACUACCUUACAAUAUCAUCAUUUGAUAAUAUUGUUCAGCAGGCCUUUACAGUUGGUCUGGCUCACAAAUG